UGGGGAAUCUUGCACAAUGGGGGCAACCCUGAUGCAGCGACGCCGCGUGAGCGAUGAAGCCCUUCGGGGUGUAAAGCUCUUUCGGCAGGGAAGAUAAUGACGGUACCUGCAGAAUCAGCUGCGGCUAACUACGUGCCAGCAGCCGCGGUAAUACGUAGGCAGCGAGCGUUGUUCGGAGUUACUGGGCGUAAAGGGUGUGUAGGCGGUGCUCUAAGUGUGGUGUGAAAUCUCCCGGCUCAACUGGGAGGGUGCGCUACGAACUGGAGUGCUCGAGUGCGGGAUGGGAGAGUGGAAUUCCUGGUGUAGCGGUGAAAUGCGUAGAUAUCAGGAGGAACACCGGUGGUGUAGACGGCUCUCUGGACCGCAACUGACGCUGAGACACGAAAGCGUGGGUAGCAAACAGGAUUAGAUACCCAGGUAGUCCCUGAGCGGGCUGGCAAGGCGCAU
Molecule: ribosomal RNA, 447 nt
Filed under: uncultured bacterium
Lineage: Bacteria
Description: bacterial SSU rRNA
Rfam family: Bacterial small subunit ribosomal RNA
Source: RNAcentral